Molecule: ribosomal RNA, 976 nt
Filed under: uncultured Actinomycetales bacterium
Lineage: Bacteria; Bacillati; Actinomycetota; Actinomycetes; Actinomycetales
Description: bacterial SSU rRNA
Rfam family: Bacterial small subunit ribosomal RNA
Source: RNAcentral
UGAUGCAGCGACGCCGCGUGAGGGAUGAAGGCCUUCGGGUUGUAAACCUUUUCGCUUUUGACCAAGGCAGCAUUUUGGUGUUGUUGAGGGAAGAGGUAAAGAAGCUCCGGCUAACUACGUGCCAGCAGCCGCGGUAAUACGUAGGGAGCGAGCGUUGUCCGGAUUUAUUGGGCGUAAAGGGCUUGUAGGUGGCUUGUCGCGUCUGCCGUGAAAUUCCGCAGCUUAACUGUGGUAGUGCGGUGGGUACGGGCAGGCUUGAGUGUGGUAGGGGAGACUGGAAUUCCUGGUGUAGCGGUGGAAUGCGCAGAUAUCAGGAGGAACACCGGUGGCGAAGGCGGGUCUCUGGGCCAUUACUGACGCUGAGGAGCGAAAGCGUGGGGAGCGAACAGGAUUAGAUACCCUGGUAGUGCACGCUGUAAACGUUGGGAACUAGGUGUGGGGCCUGUCAUGGGUUCUGCGCCGGCGCUAACGCAUUAAGUUCCCCGCCUGGGGAGUACGGCCGCAAGGCUAAAACUCAAAGGAAUUGACGGGGGCCCGCACAAGCGGCGGAGCAUGCGGAUUAAUUCGAGGCAACGCGAAGAACCUUACCAAGGCUUGGCAUACACCGGAAGCCGCCAGAGAUGGUGGCCUCUUUGAUACUGGUGACCGGUGGUGCAUGGUUGUCGCCAGCUCGUGUCGUGAGAUGUUGGGUUAAGUCCCGCAACGAGCGCAACCCUUGUCCUAUGUUGCCAGCACGUUAUGGUGGGGACUAUGGGAGACUGCCGGGGUUACUCGGAGGAGGUGGGGGUGACGUCAAUCAUCAGCCCCUUAUGUCUUGGGCUUCACGCAUGCUACAUGGCCGGACAGAGGGGGAGCGAUAUCGGGAGUGGAGCGAACCCUUAAAGCCGGUCUCAGUUCGGAUCAGAGCUGCAACUCGACUCGUGGAGGUGGAGCGCUAGUAUCGCAGAUCAGCACGCUGCGUGAUCGUCUCGGGCUU